RNAcentral lists this ribosomal RNA (115 nucleotides) under Deltaproteobacteria bacterium. The record is from RNAcentral. Lineage: Bacteria; Pseudomonadati; Myxococcota; Myxococcia.
ACCGGUAGUUAUAUCGUGGAGGUCCCACCCGUUCCCAUCCCGAACACGGAAGUUAAGCUCCACCGAGCCGAUGGUACUGCGCUUUAGGAGCGUGGGAGAGUAGGCGCUGCCGGUU